AUGUGGUCUCUCGGCCGCACUUCGCUGUGCUAUCACCUGGUCCUGCUUCUCCUCCUUGCCGUGGUCACGGCGGAUGAUCCUAGCCUCGCCGAUGGAAGGAAGCUCAUUGACCCCAAGCCUUCCCCGAAACCCACUCCAAAACCGACGCCCCAACCCAACCCUAAAAUGCCGCACCCGAACCCAAACCCAAACCCAAAGCCCACGACUCCUGUAAAGCCGGAACCCAACCCAACUCCGGACCCAGAUGCCAAGCCACAACCAAAGCCAAUGCCAAAAAAAAAAACCAAAGCCAAUGCCUCAACCGGACCCGAAGCCAACUCCUGA
RNAcentral lists this ribosomal RNA (324 nucleotides) under Triticum aestivum (bread wheat). RNAcentral's name for it is "partial small subunit ribosomal RNA". Lineage: Eukaryota; Viridiplantae; Streptophyta; Magnoliopsida; Poales; Poaceae. The record is from RNAcentral.